This 165-nucleotide microRNA precursor is filed under the name Oryza brachyantha (malo sina). RNAcentral's name for it is "MIR812 microRNA precursor family". It matches the Rfam family "MIR812 microRNA precursor family", at positions 27 to 191 of the family's 205-position model. The record is from Rfam by way of RNAcentral. Lineage: Eukaryota; Viridiplantae; Streptophyta; Magnoliopsida; Poales; Poaceae.
UAUAAUAUUUUGACUCUAGGUGUUAUUUGAAACUUUUUUACGAUUAAUAUUUUUAUUCUUACUAGAUAAAACAUGAAUAGUACUUUAUACAUAACUAAUUUUUUUAACUUUUUAUACAAAAUUUUCAAAUAAGACAAAUGGUUAAACAUUGGACAUGAAAAACGA